This 669-nucleotide ribosomal RNA is filed under the name uncultured bacterium. RNAcentral describes it as "bacterial SSU rRNA". It matches the Rfam family "Bacterial small subunit ribosomal RNA", at positions 93 to 740 of the family's 1533-position model. The record is from RNAcentral.
AAGUGGCGAACGGGUGAGUAACGCGUGGGCAAUCUGCCCUUCAGCGGGGGAUAACCUUCCGAAAGGAUGGCUAAUACCGCAUACGACGGAGAAGUCCUCGGACAUUUCCGGGAAAGCCGGCCUCUUCAUGAAAGCUGGCACUGAAGGAGGAACCCGCGUCCCAUCAGCUAGUUGGUAGGGUAAUGGCCUACCAAGGCUUAGACGGGUAGCUGGUCUGAGAGGAUGAUCAGCCACACUGGGACUGAGACACGGCCCAGACUCCUACGGGAGGCAGCAGUGGGGAAUAUUGGGCAAUGGGCGCAAGCCUGACCCAGCCACGCCGCGUGAGUGAUGAAGGCCUUCGGGUCGUAAAGCUCUGUGGGAGGGGAAGAAAGCCCCUUGGCUAAUAUCCAAGGGUUUGACGGUACCCUCUUAGCAAGCACCGGCUAACUCCGUGCCAGCAGCCGCGGUAAUACGGAGGGUGCAAACGUUGCUCGGAAUCAUUGGGCGUAAAGCGCACGUAGGCGGCACAGCAAGUUGGAUGUGAAAGCCCUCGGCUUAACCGAGGAAGUGCAUUCAAAACUACUGAGCUUGAGUACAAAAGAGGAUCGCGGAAUUCCCGGUGUAGAGGUGAAAUGCGUAGAGAUCGGGAGGAAGGCCGGUGGCGAAGGCGGCGCUCUGGAACGUUUC